GACGAACGCUGGCGGCGUGCCUAACACAUGCAAGUCGAGCGAAUGAAGUUCCUUCGGGAAUGGAUUUAGCGGCGGACGGGUGAGUAACACGUGGGCAACCUGCCUCAUAGAGGGGAAUAGCCCCCCGAAAGGGAGAUUAAUACCGCAUAAGAUUGUAGUACCGCAUGAUACAGCAAUUAAAGGAGCAAUCCGCUAUGAGAUGGGCCCGCGGCGCAUUAGCUAGUUGGUGAGGUAAUGGCUCACCAAGGCGACGAUGCGUAGCCGACCUGAGAGGGUGAUCGGCCACAUUGGGACUGAGACACGGCCCAGACUCCUACGGGAGGCAGCAGUGGGGAAUAUUGCACAAUGGGGGAAACCCUGAUGCAGCAACGCCGCGUGAGUGAUGACGGCCUUCGGGUUGUAAAGCUCUGUCUUCAGGGACGAUAAUGACGGUACCUGAGGAGGAAGCCACGGCUAACUACGUG
This 464-nucleotide ribosomal RNA is filed under the name uncultured bacterium. RNAcentral's name for it is "partial 16S ribosomal RNA". It matches the Rfam family "Bacterial small subunit ribosomal RNA", at positions 28 to 507 of the family's 1533-position model. The record is from RNAcentral.